This 227-nucleotide ribosomal RNA is filed under the name uncultured bacterium. RNAcentral's name for it is "partial 16S ribosomal RNA". It matches the Rfam family "Bacterial small subunit ribosomal RNA", at positions 125 to 334 of the family's 1533-position model. The record is from RNAcentral.
UCUACCUUCGGAUGGGGAAGUAACAACCGGAAAACCGGUUGCUAAUACCGCAUAAUGCAGCGGCACCUAAUGGUGACAGUUGUUAAAGCGGGGGAUCGAAAGACCUCGCGUCUGAAGAGGAGCCUGCGGCGGAUUAGCUUGUUGGUAAGGUAACGGCUUACCAAGGCGACGAUCCGUAGCCGGCCUGAGAGGGCGGUCGGCCACACUGACACUGACAUACGGGUCAG